UGGGGAAUAUUGGGCAAUGGGCGCAAGCCUGACCCAGCCAUGCCGCGUGAGUGAUGAAGGCCUUAGGGUUGUAAAACUCUUUCGCUGGGGAAGAUAAUGACGGUACCCAGUAAAGAAGCUCCGGCUAACUACGUGCCAGCAGCCGCGGUAAUACGUAGGGGGCGAGCGUUGUCCGGAAUUAUUGGGCGUAAAGAGCGUGUAGGCGGCUUGGUAAGUCUGUCGUGAAAUGCUGGGGCUCAACCCUGGACGUGCGAUGGAUACUGCUAGGCUAGAGGAUGGUAGAGGCGAGUGGAAUUCCCGGUGUAGCGGUGAAAUGCGCAGAUAUCGGGAGGAACACCAGUAGUGAAGGCGGCUCGCUGGGCCAUUCCUGACGCUGAGACGCGAAAGCGUGGGGAGCAAACAGGAUUAGAUACCCCCGUAGUCC
This 424-nucleotide ribosomal RNA is filed under the name uncultured prokaryote. Its description in RNAcentral is "bacterial SSU rRNA". It matches the Rfam family "Bacterial small subunit ribosomal RNA", at positions 355 to 796 of the family's 1533-position model. The record is from RNAcentral.